CUAGCAUCCAUACCAUAUAUUUUCAGACUUCUUGGGUGUGAUUCAACCUGUCCACUGAGAGUCAAAGAACUACACAGGUAUAAGAUGGGAGGAACAUAGUGCUGAAUCUGGCCCUUCUGUUUACUCUCAAGGCUUAUUAUCUGGCCUAGUGCUUAUUUACCAGUUAUUGAACUCUUGACAGUAAGUACUGUGCUCCACAGCUAGCAUUUGGAGGAUCGUGCUGUUAGUAUAGGUUGCAUAAAGAGGCCUUUUGUUCAAAAAAAGGAAAAUGUGCAGCAUUUAGAAGCCACAUUCUAAAUCUAGUAUUGAUAAUGGACAGUUAAAUCAACUAUUGCUCAAACAGGCAUUCACAGAUUUUGUCUGAAUUAAGCAUGCCUGAAUCUUUGUGCCACAAUGUGUGCACUCAUUUCUUUCACAGACAGGCAGUUCAUGAAGUAAUAGUAUAGGCUGGGAUUGAGUCUAGGGCAAAGCAUGAGGACUUGAGGCUCCAAACGGGGAAGAAAAAAAUUAGAAAAACCCAAAAUAAAAAAUAAACCAUAUGGAAUCCACACUCAGAUGCCUUUUAAAACAACCACAAACAUUCUUGCUGCCUCAAGCUGCAAAUGUCGUGAAACAAUUACUGGGCUGGGGGACUUCAAAGGUUCACUGAGAGCAGCAGUUUUAUUUUUCAAUCAAACACAGGAAUAGGGCUUUUUUUUCUGAAUGAAACUGCACCCAGGCUUCCUGAUUUCAAAAACCCUGUUCCGCUUCGCUUGACCACUCCAUAACCUUAGGAGAAGCUCAAAAACUUCAAAAUGAAACUGUCCAUAGGUGUGCAUGGAGCUUUACAGAAAUAUAAGAAGACAAGUUACAUGCCUCACAGAAUGGAAAAAAGGAAGAAUCCAUGUGCCAGCAAAUGUGAUCCAGCAGUUAUGGUUGGGAUGAAUCCAGUGAGGUUCAGCGUUCCUUCCCUCACCCCUUCAAGUGGACUAUUUAUUUAAACAACACUUGGCCCUUUUCAUCUUCAGAUCAUUUUUCGUUUACAAUAACUAAUUAAUCCUUACAACACUCCAUGGGGUACUCGGAUCUUCAUGUUACAGACAGGGGAACUGAAAAUGAGUGGUUGAACAACCUGCCCAGACCACAAAAGGAAUCAGUUGCAGAGCUGAGAUUAGAAAAGAUGGGCUCUUAACAUUCAUAAUUCAUAUAACUACUAAUAGCAUUACAUGCUCACCUGAGCAUCUCAAAGCCCAAAGUAAAUAGCAUUCACAACAUCUUUUUGAUGAAAAUGUUAAUUAAUCCAUUCCAUACAGAUAUAAAAGAAAGCCAGCUUAAUGCUCUUCGUCACUGGGUAUGUCUACACAUGCAUUAAUUUGCCUUUUCUAAUGCACAUUAAAUUUAGUACUUCCAAUGUGAAGGUGCCUAUACAUGAACAUGGGGGCUGCUCCAACGCGCUGUAAUUACAAUGAAUUGAGUCUGCUGGAGCUUGGUAAUUACCACACUCCAGCAGUCUCCCACAUCUUGUGUAUCAGCGUCC
This 1516-nucleotide long non-coding RNA is filed under the name Crocodylus porosus (Australian saltwater crocodile). RNAcentral's name for it is "lncRNA (ENSCPRG00005009607.1)". Lineage: Eukaryota; Metazoa; Chordata; Crocodylia; Crocodylidae. The record is from RNAcentral.